Molecule: transfer RNA, 1568 nt
Filed under: Marmota monax (woodchuck)
Lineage: Eukaryota; Metazoa; Chordata; Mammalia; Rodentia; Sciuridae
Rfam family: tRNA (bases 143-214)
Source: RNAcentral
AUAGAUUUUAAAUUUACAGUUUAGGGCAAGUCAUAAAUUUUGUGGAUGCCCCAGUUUUCUCCCCAUUUUCAGAUGGUAUUAAGAAUGCUUACCAGUCAACUCUUAAUAUUGAAUUGAAAUUAUUAAAAUAGCGGCUUAAAAAAGGGGUGUAGCUCAGUGGUAGAGCACUCACCUAGCAUGUGUGAGACCCUGGGUUUAGUUCCUAGCACACCAAAAAAAAAAAAAAAAAAGACCCAACAUCAAAAAAGGUGACUUAAUCCACAGCUGUUUGGCACCCUCUGAAAGGAAGUUGCUAAUGUUGCCAGAAUAAUGUGAAGUAUUUAGAAGUAUUAUCUUUUCUUGCCUAAUCACCAAUUUAGGCUUCCUGUUUGUACUUUGGAGAUAUCUGGUGUUUAUCAGGCUGAAUUAAAGGCUGACUCCAAUCAUGUGGAAGGAUGUGGAAACUAGGUGUGAGUUACUGUGCAUUGUUGGAUUUUAGAACAGUUUUCUUGACAGUUCUUUCUGCAGAGAGUUUGUAGAAAGAAGAGGAUGUUAGAUUCUUAAAAGUGCCUAUGAUUGGUCACUUAGAAUAUGUAGUAAUAUUACUGCCUGGAUAAAAGUCUUUUUAGCUACAUGACCAGAUACAGAGUUUGAUAAUAAUUUUUUCUUGCCUGUAAGUAUUGAUUCUUUUUUUUUUAUUGGUUGUUCAGGACAUUGUAAAGCUCUUGACAUAUCAUAUUUCAUACAUUAGAUUCAAGUGGGUUAUGAACUCCCAUUUUUACCCCAAAUACAGACUGCAGAAUCACAUCCGUUACACAUCCACAUUUUUACAUAAUGCCAUAUUAGUAAGUAUUGAUUCUACUGGAGAAUAUUUUAAAGUUUUUUUUUUCUAGAAGUUGUGGAUUUCUUUCUCUCUCUCUCUCUCUCUUUUUUUUUUUUUUUGAGAUAGUGUCUUCAUGUUUCCCAGGCUGGUUUUGAACUCCUGGGCUCAAGUGAUCAUUCUGUCUUAGUCUCUCAAGUGGCUGGGACUACAGGCAUGCACCACUUUAUCUGGCUCUUGAAUAUCAGUUUUGAUAAAUACAGUUUAAGUGGAGAAGUAUAUUCUGGUUUUUUAAUUCCAUUUGAGAGUUGAGAAGAGUCAUGUUUAUAGUUAUUCAGUCGUGUUUCUUGCUGGCUUGUAAAGCAAUAAAAAACUUUUUGGUCUUUUUUGUAACUUAGUGUGUUACUUUGAGAACUUUUCUGAAGGGAAAAGAAAUUCUGCAUAUUUUUUUGAGGCUGAAGAAGACAGGAAUGAUGAGUUGAUGCUGCUGUAUAAGGGUUAUGCUAACCUAAAGACCCCAGCCACUCCCAGUGCUUUACUGUAAAGUUCAGGUAACAUUUUUGUGAUCUACUCUGGUAGGGGAUUUGCAAGUAUUUGAGCUGAAGAUGUUGAAAAACCUUGGCUGUGGUUUUAGUACACCAGAUUUUUUUUUUUUCUUUUAACAGUACUAGAGAUUAAACCCAGGGCCUUGUGCAUGCUAAACGUAUUGUGUCACUGAGCUAUAUCCCAAUCUCCCAGAAUCACUUUUUCAAUUUUAGAAAAUAAUAUA